RNAcentral lists this RNase P RNA (349 nucleotides) under Erysipelotrichaceae bacterium OttesenSCG-928-M19. Its description in RNAcentral is "RNase P RNA component class B". It matches the Rfam family "Bacterial RNase P class B". Rfam says of the family: Ribonuclease P (RNase P) is a ubiquitous endoribonuclease, found in archaea, bacteria and eukarya as well as chloroplasts and mitochondria. Its best characterised activity is the generation of mature 5'-ends of tRNAs by cleaving the 5'-leader elements of precursor-tRNAs. The record is from RNAcentral. Lineage: Bacteria; Bacillati; Bacillota; Erysipelotrichia; Erysipelotrichales; Erysipelotrichaceae.
AAAUUGAGACAAUCGCUGUAAUUUUAGAUUAUAGAGGAAAGUCCAUGCUCUUACAAACUGCGAUGUUUGUAGUGAUUGUGCUAGAUGAAACAAUAAAUCUAGUCAGUAGUAAUACUGAAGGCUGAACAAAAUCCUAAGUCAAUCGAUAGGGAUGGCGUCUGUAAAAGUGCCACAGUGACGAAGUUAAGGAGGAAACUCUUUAAAUGGAACGAGGUAAACCCCACAAAAGAGAAACCCAAAUUAUGGUAGGGGCACUUAGUUAUAGGGAAAUGAACUUAUACUAGGAUGUAGUAAUACAUAGAUAAAUGAUUGUCGCUCUAAAUUAGAGAACAGAACAUGGCUUAUGAUA